GAUGAACGCUGGCGGCGUGCCUAAUACAUGCAAGUCGAGCGAACAGACGAGGCGCUUGCUCCUCUGACGUUAGCGGCGGGCGGGUGAGUAACACGUGUAUACCCUACCUAUAAGACUGAGAUCACUUCGGGAAACCGGAGCUAACACCGGAUAAUAUAUUGAACCGCAUGGUUCAUUGGAGAAAGACGGUUUUGCUGUCACUAAUAGAUGGUUCCGGGCCGGAUUAGCUAGUUGGUAAGGUAACGGCUUACCAAGGCAACGAUGCGUAGCCGACCUGAGAGGGUGAUCGGCCACACUGGAACUGAGACACGGUCCAGACUCCUACGGGAGGCAGCAGUAGGGAAUCUUCCGCAAUGGGCGAAAGCCUGACGGAGCAACGCCGCGUGAGUGAUGAAGGUCUUCGGAUCGUAAAACUCUGUUAUUAGGGAAGAACAAAUGUGUAAGUAACUAUGCACGUCUUGACGGUACCUAAUCAGAAAGCAACGGCUAACUACGUG
This 497-nucleotide ribosomal RNA is filed under the name uncultured bacterium. RNAcentral describes it as "partial 16S ribosomal RNA". It matches the Rfam family "Bacterial small subunit ribosomal RNA", at positions 28 to 507 of the family's 1533-position model. The record is from RNAcentral.